This is a long non-coding RNA of Acanthochromis polyacanthus (spiny chromis), 567 nucleotides long. RefSeq lists it as uncharacterized. The record is from RefSeq and is a predicted model, not a curated record. The transcript has 5 exons. NCBI's taxonomy places the organism in Eukaryota, Metazoa, Chordata, Actinopteri, Pomacentridae.
GCAGCCGCACGUACACACGGGACAACUCCCCCCUCAUAGACCCGCCUUCCUGGUUUAAAGGGCAAGUAGGGAGCACGGAGGAUGCCUUCACAUUCAGCAGCUGCAUAGCAUCUAUCAUCUACAAUGCCAGCCCCUGCAGGAAACCAUUUUUGACUGGAACUACUAGUUCUGAAGCAGUCAGCAGAGGGCAGCAGCGAACAAGGACGUUUCUUCUCUGGAUGUGCAGAUUUGAAGACCCAGCUUCAGAGAUCCACAGAGCUGAGUUUUUGUUAGCGAGGCAUCUCGGCUGUUGACAGCUAAUGGAAUUGCUCUUCACCUCUUGUGCGUAUGAUCCCGCGGAGAUAAGGCAGGAGAUGAAUGUGGAAUCUGUGCUGUCAGUUGUGAGGCCGAGCUGUCCUGGAAGACGUCAUUCAUUUGUGGAGGAAGCGUCUGAAACGGGUAUCCGUUUCCAACCGGCUAAGCACUGGAGGGUGGAAGGGUAUUCACCAUGCUGAGGGUAUGGAACAGUGUGGAGGGGACGAGGAGUCCACACAGGCUCUGUAUGACGUUUAUAGAAGCACUGAUCAC